AUUCUGACUUCCCUUCAGUUUGCAUAAACAUUUUUGCCUUUUACAAAAAUCACCCUGGGG
This 60-nucleotide small nuclear RNA is filed under the name Cervus elaphus hippelaphus. Lineage: Eukaryota; Metazoa; Chordata; Mammalia; Artiodactyla; Cervidae. The record is from RNAcentral.